RNAcentral lists this non-coding RNA (29 nucleotides) under Homo sapiens (human). The record is from RNAcentral. Lineage: Eukaryota; Metazoa; Chordata; Mammalia; Primates; Hominidae.
UGGGUAAAGAGGGUUCUAGUGCUCAAAGU